CGACCGCUGGCGGCGUGCCUAAUACAUGCAAGUAGAACGCUGAAGGAGGAGCUUGCUCUUCUGGAUGAGUUGCGAACGGGUGAGUAACGCGUAGGUAACCUGCCUGGUAGCGGGGGAUAACUAUUGGAAACGAUAGCUAAUACCGCAUAACAGUAGAUGUUGCAUGACAUUUACUUAAAAGGUGCAAUUGCAUCACUACCAGAUGGACCUGCGUUGUAUUAGCUAGUUGGUGGGGUAACGGCUCACCAAGGCGACGAUACAUAGCCGACCUGAGAGGGUGAUCGGCCACACUGGGACUGAGACACGGCCCAGACUCCUACGGGAGGCAGCAGUAGGGAAUCUUCGGCAAUGGACGGAAGUCUGACCGAGCAACGCCGCGUGAGUGAAGAAGGUUUUCGGAUCGUAAAGCUCUGUUGUAAGAGAAGAACGAGUGUGAGAGUGGAAAGUUCACACUGUGACGGUAUCUGACCAGAAAGGGACGGCUAACUACGUG
RNAcentral lists this ribosomal RNA (493 nucleotides) under uncultured bacterium. RNAcentral's name for it is "partial 16S ribosomal RNA". It matches the Rfam family "Bacterial small subunit ribosomal RNA", at positions 30 to 507 of the family's 1533-position model. The record is from RNAcentral.